RNAcentral lists this ribosomal RNA (468 nucleotides) under uncultured bacterium. RNAcentral describes it as "partial 16S ribosomal RNA". It matches the Rfam family "Bacterial small subunit ribosomal RNA", at positions 28 to 507 of the family's 1533-position model. The record is from RNAcentral.
GACGAACGCUGGCGGCGUGCUUAACACAUGCAAGUCGAACGGAAAGGCCCUGCUUUUGUGGGGUGCUCGAGUGGCGAACGGGUGAGUAACACGUGAGUAACCUGCCCUUGACUUUGGGAAAACUUCCGGAAACUGGGGCUAAUACCGGAUAGGAGCUCCUGCUGAAUGGUGGGGGUUGGAAAGCUUCGGCGGUUGGGGAUGGACUCGCGGCUUAUCAGCUUGGUGGUGGGGUAGUGGCUUACCAAGGCUUUGACGGGUAGCCGGCCUGAGAGGGUGACCGGCCACAUUGGGACUGAGAUACGGCCCAGACUCCUACGGGAGGCAGCAGUGGGGAAUAUUGCACAAUGGGCGGAAGCCUGAUGCAGCAACGCCGCGUGCGGGAUGACGGCCUUCGGGUUGUAAACCGCUUUCGCCUGUGACGAAGCGUGAGUGACGGUAAUGGGUAAAGAAGCACCGGCUAACUACGUG